This 77-nucleotide transfer RNA is filed under the name Helianthus annuus (common sunflower). RNAcentral describes it as "tRNA HanXRQr2_Chr08g0353791". It matches the Rfam family "tRNA". From Rfam's summary of the family: Transfer RNA (tRNA) molecules are approximately 80 nucleotides in length. Their secondary structure includes four short double-helical elements and three loops (D, anti-codon, and T loops). The record is from RNAcentral. Lineage: Eukaryota; Viridiplantae; Streptophyta; Magnoliopsida; Asterales; Asteraceae.
CAACGCUUUGGCCGAGUGGUUAAGGCUUGUGCCUGCUAAGUACAUGGUGUUUCCCCGCAAGAGUUCGAAUCUCUCAA